Molecule: ribosomal RNA, 468 nt
Filed under: uncultured bacterium
Lineage: Bacteria
Description: partial 16S ribosomal RNA
Rfam family: Bacterial small subunit ribosomal RNA
Source: RNAcentral
GACGAACGCUGGCGGCGUGCUUAACGCAUGCAAGUCGAACGGAAAGGCCCUGCUUUUGUGGGGUGCUGGAGUGGCGAACGGGUGAGUAACACGUGAGUAACCUGCCCUUGACUUUGGGAUAACUUCAGGAAACUGGGGCUAAUACCGGAUAGGAGCUCCUGCUGCAUGGUGGGGGUUGGAAAGUUUCGGCGGUUGGGGAUGGACUCGCGGCUUAUCAGCUUGUUGGUGGGGUAGUGGCUUACCAAGGCUUUGACGGGUAGCCGGCCUGAGAGGGUGACCGGCCACAUUGGGACUGAGAUACGGCCCAGACUCCUACGGGAGGCAGCAGUGGGGAAUAUUGCACAAUGGGCGGAAGCCUGAUGCAGCAACGCCGCGUGCGGGAUGACGGCCUUCGGGUUGUAAACCGCUUUCGCCUGUGACGAAGCGUGAGUGACGGUAAUGGGUAAAGAAGCACCGGCUAACUACGUG